Long non-coding RNA from Gallus gallus (chicken), 1652 nucleotides. Lineage: Eukaryota; Metazoa; Chordata; Aves; Galliformes; Phasianidae. The record is from Ensembl.
AAAGCAUUAGGGAGGAAUGCAGCACCACUGAAUGUGAUAAUUUGGAAGGAGAAUACUCACCUCGAUGGCACUGAAAUAUCAAGCAAAGGGAUACAGAACUUUACCUCAUAUCUGAGAGAAUCCAGCAACUGUUCACAGAGAUGAUGAAGGAACUGGAACAUCUCUACUAUAUCUCUCUUCCAAGAGAGCUCAGAUUCUUCAGCCUAGAGAAGAAGAGAUACAGGGGAAUUCAUCAGUGUCUGUAUAGAAGAAAAAAAGGAAUUGUCUAUACAAACUCUGUUGCAUUCCACAAACUGAAAUUCAGAAAGAAUGUUUUGAGGAUAAGUUGUGCUGCUAAAUCCUACAUCUUCAACUCAAAGAGACAUGAAAACAAAAAAAAUAUGUAAGUGUAAACAAAACUGAAUCAAAUCAUCCAAUAAGCAAUAAAAAUCUUAAUAAGUAGAAAAUUUGCAAACAGAGUAUAAUAGAAGUGUCUCGUGUUAACACAAAGUAAUGCAAAUAUUGUAUGGACUUUUCUUUAGUUUUCAGCUUAACAAUUUUGUUGCUUUUUAUUUUGAACAUUUAUUACAUUCUGCCAUGUUGUUUCCAUAAUCUUUUCUUUUUUUUUCUUUGUUUUUCUUAAAUUGCUAGUUGACAUUUAAUAGAUACAUUUUGCUAAUUUGUGGAAGAAAAGAUCUUCAGGGGCUGUUAAGCAUGGAGGCUACCAGGACACAUUUGUAAAGGAACUCAAUCUAGCAGAUGAACAAGAAAUACAGAAUGGCUCAUAAUCACAUGGCUCAGGGCUAGACAUCUCUUGAGUGGACAUAUCUAUACUGACUGUUUCCAGUCUCAGGUCUUUUUAAACAUCCAGUCAGUGCACCACACUGGCUUUAGGACAUCUCCAGAAUAACUAUCAGUGUUUAGACAAUAUUGUUUUACCCUUCCCCAUCCCCCUGGAUUCAAGUGGCAGAAACAAGGUUUGUGUGAGGGCUGUGUUGUCUGUAUACAGCCAUGUUGGGAGUAUGGGCUGGGGACAUGGCAUGACUUUGCAUGAGGACAGGGCAGUGGCUGGGACAGUGAGAUAGGAUUCUAGAGGGAGGAAAAUCUGGUACUAUUUUGUCUACAAUGACUGUUGCGGUUUAAACUGGCAGGAAGCUAAGCACUACAUAGCCUUACAUUCACUCCUCCAACUCCCAGUGAGAUGGGGGAGAGAAUUAGAAAAAAAAAAAGAAAGAACUAGAAUUUGCAAGUUGAGAUAAAAACCAUUUACUAAGACAGAAGAGGAAGAGUAAAAUAAUACAAAUGACAGUCUUAUAUACAUAUAUAUUUACAAAACAGGUGAUGCACAAAGCAGCUGCACAUCACCUGCUGAUCAGUGUCCAGCCAGUCUCUGGGCAAUGCCUGCCUCCCUGUUAAACUGUGUUCAGUUUUAUAAUUUUUUUUGCAUGAUGUCAUAUGAUAUGUAAAAUCCCUUUGGCCAGUCAGGAUCAUCUGUCCUAGUUCUGUUCCGUCCCAGCAACUUGUGCCACCUCACUGACCUCACUGGCAGGGCAGUACAAGAGGUAAUAUGAAUCUAUUUAAAUGGAUCAAAUCAUUGGAGAGAAUUGUGAAAAAGAAAGAAAGAAAGAAAGAAAGAAAGAAAGAAAGAAAGAAAGAAAGAAAGAAAGAAAGAA